RNAcentral lists this ribosomal RNA (247 nucleotides) under uncultured bacterium. Its description in RNAcentral is "partial 16S ribosomal RNA". It matches the Rfam family "Bacterial small subunit ribosomal RNA", at positions 523 to 769 of the family's 1533-position model. The record is from RNAcentral.
AUACGUAGGUGGCAAGCGUUGUCCGGAAUUAUUGGGCGUAAAGGGCGUGUAGGUGGAUUUUUAAGUCGUGUGUCUAAGUGCGGGGCUCAACCCCGUAUGGGCGCAGGAAACUGGAGAUCUUGAGUGCAGGAGAGGAAAGUGGAAUUCCCAGUGUAGCGGUGAACUGCGUAGAUAUUGGGAGGAACACCAGUGGCGAAGGCGACUUUCUGGACUGUGUCUGACACUGAGGCGCGAAAAUCAGGGGAGC